GUGUUGGAGAUUACUGAUAGUAAUUCCGGAGUAACCAAUGGACAGUUACCGGAUUUACGGGCUGGGGAGAGUUGACCACAUCGGGGCAUCACUGUACUCGACCGUGUGUUCACAUUGAAGUGAGAAGUGAGAAGCGGGUAAUUGAGAAGGCAAUAUUCACGCGUAUUUCGCGCAGCCGUGCGAUAAAAAUAAAAACAAAAAUAGGAAUCGAUGCAAAUCAAAACAAAAACAAAAAUUUGCAUUCUUUAGUUUCUGGCUGUUCAGUGAAUUUGGAAAUUUGAGUCAAAAACGUUAAAAUCGUGGCAUCUGCAGCAUAAAUUCGCUAGUGUAAGUUUAAAUUAGUGGCGGAGAGCUUGCACACGUAAACUAGCUGCACUACACGAUUGUUAGAUUUGUGGAAGAAGAAGGCAAAAGUGAUCAUUCGAAAGAUAAUUGGGAAAUCCCAGAUCAAAAAGAUCGAUUAUCGCAGGAAGUGAUCGCGGUUGUAUAGAGAAUAUCGCAAGAGGAGAAGAAAACUAUUUCUU
This 524-nucleotide long non-coding RNA is filed under the name Aedes aegypti (yellow fever mosquito). Its description in RNAcentral is "lncRNA AAEL027363". The record is from RNAcentral. Lineage: Eukaryota; Metazoa; Arthropoda; Insecta; Diptera; Culicidae.